AGGCGACACGUCACAGUGGUCAGGUGACACUUCUGAUGAAGACUGCAGCUGACAGUCAAGUUAUGUCAUGGUGGUGCAUGGUCGUGACCCCGGGAUGCAGAGAUAGAGUCGAAGUGCAGGCAGUACUCCUGCAGCUGGGCGAUGUAUGGAACACAGAAGGAUCAUGAAAUAGUGCACGAGAAGAGGCGAGACUUGCGGCAAGACAACUUGUGGCUGCUCAUAAUGCCCUGAGUAUCCAACAGAACAUCACAGUGCGGGAGCAACCUCCCUACUCAUCCAACCUGGCUCUGUGUGAUUUUGUUCCCUCUUUUCCAAAGCUCAAGACGGUCAUCAAGGAGACCCAUUUUCAAGACGUGGAUGACAUCAAGAUGGCCUUGACAACGAAGCGGCAAAGGAUCCCGGAAGAAUCCUCGCAGGAGUGCAUGAAGGCACUGCAGAGAAGGCUGGG
Dunckerocampus dactyliophorus (ringed pipefish) is the source of this 448-nucleotide long non-coding RNA. RefSeq lists it as uncharacterized. The transcript has 4 exons. The record is from RefSeq and is a predicted model, not a curated record. Lineage: Eukaryota; Metazoa; Chordata; Actinopteri; Syngnathiformes; Syngnathidae.